AGAGUUUGAUCCUGGCUCAGAACGAACGCUAGCGGCGUGCCUAACACAUGCAAGUCGAACGAGAAAUCCUGAGCAAUCGGGAGAGUAAAGUGGCGCACGGGUGAGUAACGCGUGGGUAAUCUACCCUGGAGUUAGGAAUAACACUUCGAAAGGGGUGCUAAUACCUAAUAAGAUCCUGAAAACCAUGGUUUUUGGGAUUAAAGAUGGCUGAGGCUUGCAAGCUAUUGCUCCAAGAUGAGCCCGCGUACCAUUAGCUAGUUGGUAGGGUAAUGGCCUACCAAGGCAACGAUGGUUAGCUGGUCUGAGAGGAUGGCCAGCCACACUGGAACUGAGAUACGGUCCAGACUCCUACGGGAGGCAGCAGUGAGGAAUCUUGCGCAAUGGGGGCAACCCUGACGCAGCAACGCCGCGUGAGUGAUGAAGGCCUUCGGGUCGUAAAGCUCUGUCAGAUGGGAAGAAAAUUUUUGCGGUAAAUAAUCGCAGGGAUUGACGGUACCGUUAAAGGAAGCACCGGCUAACUCCGUGCCAGCAGCCGCGGUAAUACGGAGGGUGCAAGCGUUGUUCGGAAUUAUUGGGCGUAAAGAGCGUGUAGGCGGCCUUGUAAGUCAGAUGUGAAAUCCCUUGGCUUAACCAAGGAAGGGCAUUUGAAACUGCUUGGCUUGAGUACGGGAGGGGGAAGUGGAAUUCCCGGUGUAGAGGUGAAAUUCGUAGAUAUCGGGAGGAACACCAGUGGCGAAGGCGGCUUCCUGGACCGAUACUGACGCUGAGACGCGAAAGCGUGGGGAGCAAACAGGAUUAGAUACCCUGGUAGUCC
This 814-nucleotide ribosomal RNA is filed under the name uncultured bacterium. Its description in RNAcentral is "bacterial SSU rRNA". It matches the Rfam family "Bacterial small subunit ribosomal RNA", at positions 8 to 796 of the family's 1533-position model. The record is from RNAcentral.